Molecule: long non-coding RNA, 516 nt
Filed under: Pan troglodytes (chimpanzee)
Lineage: Eukaryota; Metazoa; Chordata; Mammalia; Primates; Hominidae
Description: lincRNA
Source: RNAcentral
CGGAUCUCGCGAUGUUUCAGGGCGGCUUUGGAGUCAUCAAAUGUGAGAAGCCCUGGACUUUACACAUCCCGAGCCAGUGUGAUCCAGUAUGAUUGGGAGUCCGAGUGCCAGAUGCCGGUCGGGACCUGUUAUGCUGGGUCUCAGAAUGCGGAAACUCUCCCUGUCCGAGGUGGAACAGUUUGUCCUUGAGUGAGGACCGGAGUCCUGAGUGACUCUUGAUUUGAUCCUGUUUCCCUCAAACCUGAGAUGGGAGCCUCACUGUAUUGCCCAGGCUGGUCUUGAACUCCGGAGCUCAAGUGAUCGUCUUGCUUCAGCCUUCCAAAAUGAUGGUGAAGCUGCAUCAUUGUCUGGGGUAAAUACCUGAGGUUCGUUGUCUCACGCCAAGGGAAUCAAGGACGUGGACACACAAGAAGUGAGUUUAAGAGCGGAGGUUUAAUAGGCGAAAGAGAAAAGAGAAUAGCUCUAGCUCCUGCAGAGAGAAAAGGGCUCCCAAGUAGGACUUCCAGUCCGUGGCGA